This 496-nucleotide ribosomal RNA is filed under the name uncultured bacterium. RNAcentral's name for it is "partial 16S ribosomal RNA". It matches the Rfam family "Bacterial small subunit ribosomal RNA", at positions 29 to 507 of the family's 1533-position model. The record is from RNAcentral.
AUGAACGCUGGCGGCGUGCCUAAUACAUGCCAGUCGAGCGAACAGACGAGGAGCUUGCUCCUCUGACGUUAGCGGCGGACGGGUGAGUAACACGUGGAUAACCUACCUAUAAGACUGGGAUAACUUCGGGAAACCGGAGCUAAUACCGGAUAAUAUAUUGAACCGCAUGGUUCAAUAGUGAAAGACGGUUUUGCUGUCACUUAUAGAUGGAUCCGCGCCGCAUUAGCUAGUUGGUAAGGUAACGGCUUACCAAGGCAACGAUGCGUAGCCGACCUGAGAGGGUGAUCGGCCACACUGGAACUGAGACACGGUCCAGACUCCUACGGGAGGCAGCAGUAGGGAAUCCUCCGCAAUGGGCGAAAGCCUGACGGAGCAACGCCGCGUGAGUGAUGAAGGUCUUCGGAUCGUAAAACUCUGUUAUUAGGGAAGAACAAAUGUGUAAGUAACUAUGCACGUCUUGACGGUACCUAAUCAGAAAGCCACGGCUAACUACGUG